This 373-nucleotide ribosomal RNA is filed under the name uncultured Nitrososphaerota archaeon. RNAcentral's name for it is "bacterial SSU rRNA". It matches the Rfam family "Archaeal small subunit ribosomal RNA", at positions 514 to 889 of the family's 1478-position model. The record is from RNAcentral. Lineage: Archaea; Thermoproteati; Nitrososphaerota.
AGCAUCCGUAGCCGGUUGCAUAAGUUUUCGGUUAAGUCUAUGCGCUCAACGUAUAGGCCGCCGAAAAUACUGUGCAGCUAGGGAGUGGGAGAGGUACACGGUACUCAGUAGGAAGGGGUAAAAUCCUUUGAUCUAUUGAUGACCACCUGUGGCGAAGGCGGUGUACCAGAACACGUUCGACGGUGAGGGAUGAAAGCUGGGGGAGCAAACCCGAUUAGAUACCCGGGUAGUCCCAGCUGUAAACGAUGCAGACUCGGUGAUGCAUUGGCUUGUGGCCAAUGCAGUGCCGCAGGGAAGCCGUUAAGUCUGCCGCCUGGGAAGUACGUACGCAAGUAUGAAACUUAAAGGAAUUGGCGGGGGAGCACAAGCCGAA